This 1343-nucleotide ribosomal RNA is filed under the name uncultured bacterium. Its description in RNAcentral is "16S ribosomal RNA". It matches the Rfam family "Bacterial small subunit ribosomal RNA", at positions 28 to 1378 of the family's 1533-position model. The record is from RNAcentral.
GACGAACGCUGGCGGCGUGCUUAACACAUGCAAGUCGAACGGAAAGGCCCUGCUUUUGUGGGGUGCUCGAGUGGCGAACGGGUGAGUAACACGUGAGUAACCUGCCCUUGACUUUGGGAUAACUUCAGGAAACUGGGGCUAAUACCGGAUAGGAGCUCCUGCUGCAUGGUGGGGGUUGGAAAGUUUCGGCGGUUGGGGAUGGACUCGCGGCUUAUCAGCUUGUUGGUGGGGUAGUGGCUUACCAAGGCUUUGACGGGUAGCCGGCCUGAGAGGGUGACCGGCCACAUUGGGACUGAGAUACGGCCCAGACUCCUACGGGAGGCAGCAGUGGGGAAUAUUGCACAAUGGGCGGAAGCCUGAUGCAGCAACGCCGCGUGCGGGAUGACGGCCUUCGGGUUGUAAACCGCUUUCGCCUGUGACGAAGCGUGAGUGACGGUAAUGGGUAAAGAAGCACCGGCUAACUACGUGCCAGCAGCCGCGGUGAUACGUAGGGUGCGAGCGUUGUCCGGAUUUAUUGGGCGUAAAGGGCUCGUAGGUGGUUGAUCGCGUCGGAAGUGUAAUCUUGGGGCUUAACCCUGAGCGUGCUUUCGAUACGGGUUGACUUGAGGAAGGUAGGGGAGAAUGGAAUUCCUGGUGGAGCGGUGGAAUGCGCAGAUAUCAGGAGGAACACCAGUGGCGAAGGCGGUUCUCUGGGCCUUUCCUGACGCUGAGGAGCGAAAGCGUGGGGAGCGAACAGGCUUAGAUACCCUGGUAGUCCACGCUGUAAACGGUGGGUACUAGGUGUGGGGUCCAUUCCACGGGUUCCGUGCCGUAGCUAACGCUUUAAGUACCCCGCCUGGGGAGUACGGCCGCAAGGCUAAAACUCAAAGGAAUUGACGGGGCCCCGCACAAGCGGCGGAGCAUGCGGAUUAAUUCGAUGCAACGCGUAGAACCUUACCUGGGUUUGACAUGGAUCGGGAGUGCUCAGAGAUGGGUGUGCCUCUUUUGGGGUCGGUUCACAGGUGGUGCAUGGCUGUCGUCAGCUCGUGUCGUGAGAUGUUGGGUUAAGUCCCGCAACGAGCGCAACCCUUGUUCACUGUUGCCAGCACGUUAUGGUGGGGACUCAGUGGAGACCGCCGGGGUCAUCUCGGAGGAAGGUGGGGAUGACGUCAAGUCAUCAUGCCCCUUAUGUCCAGGGCUUCACGCAUGCUACAAUGGCUGGUACAGAGAGUGGCGAGCCUGUGAGGGUGAGCGAAUCUCGGAAAGCCGGUCUCAGUUCGGAUUGGGGUCUGCAACUCGACCUCAUGAAGUCGGAGUCGCUAGUAAUCGCAGAUCAGCAACGCUGCGGUGAAUACGUUCCCGGG